RNAcentral lists this ribosomal RNA (477 nucleotides) under bacterium BSD2-6L. RNAcentral's name for it is "bacterial SSU rRNA". It matches the Rfam family "Bacterial small subunit ribosomal RNA", at positions 58 to 515 of the family's 1533-position model. The record is from RNAcentral.
CAAGUCGAGCGGAACGAGUUAUCUGAACCUUCGGGGAACGAUAACGGCGUCGAGCGGCGGACGGGUGAGUAAUGCCUAGGAAAUUGCCCUGAUGUGGGGGAUAACCAUUGGAAACGAUGGCUAAUACCGCAUAAUGCCUACGGGCCAAAGAGGGGGACCUUCGGGCCUCUCGCGUCAGGAUAUGCCUAGGUGGGAUUAGCUAGUUGGUGAGGUAAGGGCUCACCAAGGCGACGAUCCCUAGCUGGUCUGAGAGGAUGAUCAGCCACACUGGAACUGAGACACGGUCCAGACUCCUACGGGAGGCAGCAGUGGGGAAUAUUGCACAAUGGGCGCAAGCCUGAUGCAGCCAUGCCGCGUGUGUGAAGAAGGCCUUCGGGUUGUAAAGCACUUUCAGUCGUGAGGAAGGUAGUGUAGUUAAUAGCUGCAUUAUUUGACGUUAGCGACAGAAGAAGCACCGGCUAACUCCGUGCCAGCCGC